Molecule: ribosomal RNA, 403 nt
Filed under: Amplucrutermes inflatus
Lineage: Eukaryota; Metazoa; Arthropoda; Insecta; Blattodea; Termitidae
Description: partial 12S ribosomal RNA
Source: RNAcentral
UAUUAUUUUGGACUGUUAAUUUUUGUGCUUGAGUAGUAUUAGUUAUGUUCUUGAAACUUAAAGAAUUUGGCGGUAUCUUAUUCCAUCCAGAGGAAUCUGUCUCGUUAUCGAUAGUCCGCGUUGGACCUUACUUGGUUGCCUUGGUUUGUAUACCGCCGUUUAUUGAUUAUCUUAUUAGAGUUUAUUUAAUUCUCUAGUUUCUUUAUUUUGAUUUAUUUCAGGUCAAGGUGCAGCUUGUUUCUAAGUGGAAUGAUGGAUUACAUUGUUAUUUGUUGUUUGGAUUGUUGAUUUUAAUAUUGGUAUGAAAGUGGAUUUGGUUGUAAUGUUUUGUAGAUUGUUUUCAUGAUAAUUGGUUCUGGGAUAUGUACACAUCGCCCGUCGCUCUCGUUUAUUUGUUAAUGAG